RNAcentral lists this ribosomal RNA (510 nucleotides) under bacterium YG-68. Its description in RNAcentral is "bacterial SSU rRNA". It matches the Rfam family "Bacterial small subunit ribosomal RNA", at positions 924 to 1434 of the family's 1533-position model. The record is from RNAcentral.
CACAAGCGGUGGAGCAUGUGGUUUAAUUCGAUGCAACGCGAAGAACCUUACCUACUCUUGACAUCCAGAGAACUUAGCAGAGAUGCUUUGGUGCCUUCGGGAACUCUGAGACAGGUGCUGCAUGGCGGUCGUCAGCUCGUGUUGUGAAAUGUUGGGUUAAGUCCCGCAACGAGCGCAACCCUUAUCCUUUGUUGCCAGCGGUUCGGCCGGGAACUCAAAGGAGACUGCCAGUGAUAAACUGGAGGAAGGUGGGGAUGACGUCAAGUCAUCAUGGCCCUUACGAGUAGGGCUACACACGUGCUACAAUGGCAUAUACAAAGAGAAGCGACCUCGCGAGAGCAAGCGGACCUCAUAAAGUAUGUCGUAGUCCGGAUUGGAGUCUGCAACUCGACUCCAUGAAGUCGGAAUCGCUAGUAAUCGUAGAUCAGAAUGCUACGGUGAAUACGUUCCCGGGCCUUGUACACACCGCCCGUCACACCAUGGGAGUGGGUUGCAAAAGAAGUAGGUAGC